RNAcentral lists this ribosomal RNA (253 nucleotides) under uncultured bacterium. RNAcentral's name for it is "partial 16S ribosomal RNA". It matches the Rfam family "Bacterial small subunit ribosomal RNA", at positions 524 to 776 of the family's 1533-position model. The record is from RNAcentral.
UACGGAGGGGGCUAGCGUUGUUCGGAAUUACUGGGCGUAAAGCGCGCGUAGGCGGAUCUGCAAGUCGGGGGUGAAAUCCCGAGGCUCAACCUCGGAACUGCCUUCGAUACUGCGGGUCUCGAGUCCGGGAGAGGUGAGUGGAAUUCCGAGUGUAGAGGUGAAAUUCGUAGAUAUUCGGAAGAACACCAGUGGCGAAGGCGACUUACUGGACGACUGUUGACGCUGAGGUGCGAAAGCGUGGGGAGCAAACAGG